This 463-nucleotide ribosomal RNA is filed under the name uncultured Acidobacteriota bacterium. Its description in RNAcentral is "bacterial SSU rRNA". It matches the Rfam family "Bacterial small subunit ribosomal RNA", at positions 224 to 704 of the family's 1533-position model. The record is from RNAcentral. Lineage: Bacteria; Pseudomonadati; Acidobacteriota.
GAGGGGCCCGCGGCCGAUUAGGUAGUUGGUAGGGUAAUGGCCUACCAAGCCUGCGAUCGGUAGCCGGCCUGAGAGGGCACACGGCCACACUGGCACUGAAACACGGGCCAGACUCCUACGGGAGGCAGCAGUGGGGAAUCUUGCACAAUGGGGGAAACCCUGAUGCAGCGACGCCGCGUGAGCGAUGAAGCCCUUCGGGGUGUAAAGCUCUUUUGUCGGGGACAAUUAUGAUGGUACCCGGCGAAUAAGCUGCGGCUAACUACGUGCCAGCAGCCGCGGUAAUACGUAGGCAGCAAGCGUUGUUCGGAAUUACUGGGCGUAAAGCGUGUGUAGGUGGUUGGGUAAGUCUGGUGUGAAAUCUCCCGGCCCAACUGGGAGGGUGCGCCGGGAACUGCCUGGCUAGAGUGCGGAAGAGGAGAGUGGAAUUCCCGGUGUAGCGGUGAAAUGCGUAGAUAUCGGGAGG